AAGUACUUAGGGACCUAAUCCUAGUACGUUUUGUAACAGCCUUAAAACGAAGUUUCCCUUUAACAAAACCACCUUUACCCUUAAAUUUAUAUGGAACUUGAACAGUGUCUCUACCUAUGUGGGGUGGGAUUAGUACCCCCCAUGAUGCAUUUGGGAAUACAUAUGGCCCUUCUUCAAAGUUUCCAUUUUUCAAUAAAUUU
RNAcentral lists this long non-coding RNA (200 nucleotides) under Trifolium pratense (red clover). RNAcentral's name for it is "long non-coding RNA (TPRA_LNC013333)". Lineage: Eukaryota; Viridiplantae; Streptophyta; Magnoliopsida; Fabales; Fabaceae. The record is from RNAcentral.